This 270-nucleotide ribosomal RNA is filed under the name uncultured archaeon. RNAcentral's name for it is "partial 16S ribosomal RNA". It matches the Rfam family "Archaeal small subunit ribosomal RNA", at positions 477 to 747 of the family's 1478-position model. The record is from RNAcentral.
CAGCGCCACGAGUGGGGAUCAUAUUUAUUGGGCCUAAAGCGUCCGUAGCCGGCGCUGUAAGUUUUCGGUUAAAUCUGUACGCUCAACGUACAGGCUGCCGGGAAUACUGCAGCGCUAGGGAGUGGGAGAGGUAGACGGUACUCGGUAGGAAAGGGUAAAAUCCUUUGAUCUAUUGAUGACCACCUGUGGCGAAGGCGGUCUACCAGAACACGUCCGACGGUGAGGGAUGAAAGCUGGGGGAGCAAACCGGAUUAGAUACCCGAGUAGUCC